AACUAGAAAGAGUGAGAGACAUGGAGAUGAUCUUGACCGGGGGAAAAAGUGUUCAUGCAUCAGCGAACCUCUUCUUCUGACUCUGGGAAGAGAGGCUUGAGCGGAGGAAAUCUUGUUUCACAGCGUUCUUGACGGUCCCGUUGAUGAAUCUCUGGUACCAUUUGCCAGAUUCUUUGAGGUUUCUAUCGUCAAGAUCUUCCCAAUUAACGUAACUGAGUCCAAAUCUGACGGUAAAGCCUUUACAGAAUUCAUAAUUGUCUCCAAGAGCCCAUGCGAAGUAUCCUCUCACGUUGACACCCUUCUCCCUGAAAACAAGAACAAUCAUAUAUAAAAAUGUUACCAAGAAAGAAGAAGAAUAUAACAGAUGUAGAAAAUCAUUUAUAGUAGCAUCCACUCACUUGAUGACCUUGCGGAGAAAACAUAAAUGACUGCAGAGAUAAUCAAUUCGCUUGUAAUCGGCAAUAGCCUGCUCACGGUUUUCUUCACUGGGGGUACUAAAUCCUAAAUAAACCGCCACAUUAAAAAUAUUCCACAAUAAAGUCAGUUUCUUCGACUAAUAUCAAAAUACAAUAAUUAUUAUGUGGUAUAAAUGAAAAGAGUUCGUAAAACUCACCGUUCUCGGUGACAUAGAUUAAAGGGUCUCCGUAUUUGGUUUUGAAGUAGUCCAUUACGUAGUAAAUGCCUUUUGGGUAGUAAUAGCUGUUGCCGUUUACCUUGUCUUCAACGAACUGUGAAAAUGGAAGUAAAUAAAUAUACACAUCAAUUAAAAAACAUAAUUAGGGUUGUUAUACUGAAAACUGAAAAAAUGAAAGAAAAACAAAUCUUAGGGGGUGGAUCAUUGAUAUAUACCAGUGGACCAAGAAAUUCACCACGUGAGUUAUCAUCUGUAAACACAAGGAUGAAAUAACAGAUGGUCACUCACAAAGUACGUUGCAACAAAAAGGAGAUAAAAGAAUAUUUAUAUGUAUAGAAAGGCUGUAUCUAAUUAGUGGUAAUAGACUAGUACAUGUGAGCUUUACGCCAGCGUCCAUCAUGGCAGUGUGUGUCUCUGAAGGAUAUGGGUUAGGUUUUGGCUGGGCGUACUGAGUGACGUAAUAGUUGAGACCAAGAAAAUCAUAUGAACCGGCAACGAGUGCGGCUUCUUCCUCGGUAAAGUUGGGAAGCCUACUACCCACAAUCUGCCUCAUGAUGUCUGGGUAUCUACCCUUUGUUAGCGGCUCCAUGUACCUGAUCCAUGUAUAUGUUUUAAUUAUAUAUACAUACACUAUAUACUGUUACAUUGUUCUGUAAUAUAUAUAUAUACCAUCCAUGGAAGAAUUGGUUCAUCCUCUCAGCUGCUUCUAUGGAGGCAGGAUCAGACUCAUCAAAUGGAAGAAACCAUCUUGUUAUCAUCACAGGUCCAAUCUUCCCUUUUUGAAACUGUUGGUCACGUGAUAUAUAUAUGACUAUACAUUAGAAUCAGAUAUGUUAGAUUUGCACCACCUUAAUAUGGAGAGACCACUCACCUUAUAUUUGGUCCUGUAAAGAUCGACGACCGUGGCAUGAGCAAGAAGCUGGUUAUGUGCAACGAUGUAGGGUUCUGUUGAAGAAUUUCCACCGUAACACCUGUGCUUGGUAUCAACCAUAGGAGAACAUCGACCGGGUGCAUCUGUUCCGACCGCAUAGCCUCUCGUAGGGACUGUGUAUAACUGGUUGAUCGUGAUCCAGUGCUUUACCUUUCCACCAAAUUCUUUGAAACAUAGAUCCGCGUAAUCUUUGAAAUCUUGUCUGCAUAUGAAUAUAUAAUUAUUUCAGUUAAUACAUGUAAUUAAAUAAGACCAAACCUUCUUCUUUUUUAUUAAUAAUUUUAUAAUCAAUCUCUUAAAUUCAUAUAUAAUAUGUCUGCAUGGCACAUACAUGAUCUGGCGGUCCAAGAAACCUUCAUACUCAUCUUGGAGUGUUUGAGGAAGGUCCCAGUGAAAGAGGGUAACGAAAGGCGUUAUAUUCUUUUCGAGGAGUGCAUCUAUGAGUUUGUGGUAGUAAUCAAGACCUCCUUGGUUCACUCCCCUACUCACCUUUCCUUCUGCUCAUGUAUAUAUAUGUCGUACAUUAAUUAGUACUUUUUCAACUAAAUGAUCCCAAUUAAAAUACAAACGAAUGGAUAACAUGUACAUACUUGGAAUGAUUCUUGACCACGCAAAGGAGAACCUGUAGCCAGUAGCAUUGAGUUCACCCAUCACGUCUACAUCUUUCUGCAGUUUACAUAUUUUAAUCACAUGUCAAUUCCACACGUAUAGUUUUUAUACAUAUAUAGUUCAAUCAUACGAGUAUCAAUGUAUUAACCUGCCAUCUCGUAUAGGACUCACAAGUAGUGUCUCCAUUCUUCAAAUCUGACCCUGAUUUCUCUGAUAGUAGUUACAAAUACAUUAAUACAUGUACAUAUAAACCGACGUUCAUCUCAUGUGUAUAUAUACACUGUGACGUACCUGGAUAUCGGUGACUGAAGCCAUCCCAAAUGUUAACACCACGACCUCUUCCUCCUUCGAUCUGAAAUGAAAAGAAACAACCAUGCGAAGUUGCAUUUUAGUAUUUUUGAAUUGUAUUUAUUGAUACGUCAAAAACAUUUGUUGCAUGCCUGGUAAGCAGAAGAUGCAACACCGAAGAUGAAGUCUUUUCCGAAGUUUUUACUGCUUAAAAUAUCAGUGUUACUACAUGUGAAUGGAUUGUUCUCUUCGCAAGUAAUUUCUUCAUCAGCUUUGCAACUCGCACCAGCUAAUAGAAACACUAAAGCGAGUCCAUGAAGAAGCUUCAUGGUUAAUCUGUUGAUGUAGGUGUUGUGUUAAUGGAACCUUGUGACCAUCUAGGGUUUAUAUAGCCCUUCCAAAAGAAGAGUGACGUAUGCAUUUUUCUUUGUCUAAGUGUUCUGAUAUUUUGGGAGAGGUUUAGCUGAGAUGAAACCCGUGUGAUCAUUUACUUUAGCUCAGUGUUCACCGAUUGAUUAUGUUUUUUUUUUUGUUUUGUUUCCAGUUUUUAGCAUGCCUUGUUCUUCAAUCAACCAUUACAUUGGGAAAAAAAUACAAGAUGUUGCAUUUUUUAUCGGGAUGAAUUGUUAAUGAUUUAUUGCUACUUUUCCUAGAGUUAAUUUUAGGAAAUAACCUAUGAAGUUGAACGGAAGCACGUCUUUGGACAAAUAAAUCUGGUGUCAUUUUCUUGUCAUAUUAUUUAUAUUGUUUUCAAGUGUAAUUUUUUUUUGUUACAUUCCAUAUCUGGAACACACAACUUGGAACACGAAUUGUCUCACAUCUUCAAAUUGAUCCGUCGACAGUGGUGAAUGCAGCAUGUAUAUAUCGAAGGUUUGCGCAAAACUAGAACGACACGUAUCAUCAUUCAUCAAGAUUUGUUGUAUUAAAUAAUGUUCAAACAUUCGUCAUGAUUAACGACAUAAAUUAUUGAAGAUUUUUAUCGAAAUAUUAUCAAGUGUUGAAUCUAGACUAACACUGAUCCAAGGCCACACUUAUCACGAGCCUCACCGCUCAUAAUCACAGCAUAUCUUAUUUUGGUUUUGAGUCUUUUUACCUCUCUAUAUAUGCUUUUAUCACAUGAGACCGGACUCUACGAAAGACAAAAAAAUUUGCAUUUUUUUAAAGAAAACCAAAACCAACCACAUUUUUUGCAUUUUUCCAUCGUUUCUAGAUAAUCAGAGCCGUAUGACCGAGACGAAUGAUAAAAAUAUUUUCAAUAAAAAUAAUAAUACGUUUUAUUAUAGAGAAUAAAAAAACCAUGACUUCUGAAUAAAUACAAAACCAUGACUUCUGAAUAAAUAAGAUAGUUACUUUUUUUUGAAAAAGAUUUUACUAUUUAAAUGCAGGAGACCGAAAAUAUUUUACAGAGAUUGAACUCAGUAGGCCAAGUGGCCUUACAUAUCUAAAAGAUACAAACUUGAAUCAGUGAAUUAGCUGGAUGGGUUUCACGUAGAGAACCAUAACUGAAGUAGAGAAGAAGAGAAAUUUGGCCUGUCGAUUCUUAGACUGGAGAUCCUGUUUUUUACCGUAAGCUUUAUUUGAGCUACCAGGCCGUCUGGUGAAGUGAAAUGAGCAUUGUGCAGUCGAUUGUUCCUCUCUGUUCAGAGCGCAUAAAGUGUCGCCUGCCAGCAUAGAAGAAGAAAAGUCGUUUGGACUUUGUUUGAAGUAUGGCUCUUAAUUUGGGGAAGUAUUGCAGUCCAUUGACGAGAUGAGGCGAAGUGACAUUUUGCUGCCAUGAUUCUCCAAACAUCCCAAGCAAAGUUACAGUCAAAGAAACAAUGAGCAAUUGACUCAUCAGCAACAUUGCAUAGGAGGCAACGGGGGUCUGUUUGUAAUCCCCAACUGAGGAUCCUGUCACGAGUGGGGCAUCUGUUCCUGACCAUCAACCACACUAAGAACAUGUGUUUGGGUAUACCACCUGAGAUAGUUACUUGUAUAUUAAUCUAUAGUUUAAAUCUAUACUUUAAAUAAAAAUAAAUACAUUUUAAUUAUAUUUUUCAUAAUUAGAUAUUCUUUUCGACAAAGGUUCUAUUGAAGUGCGUGAAACAGACAAAGCUAUGAAUUCAAACAUGAGGUAAAAUAAUCUGUUCAUAUUUUUGUAAGAACAAAAUAUUUAAAUGUAUGCUCUUUAGGCUUUCGAUAUAUUAGGAUGGGCCAUAAAUAAUAGUUUCAGUUUAAGUAACAUUCACGUUACCAAUUUGUACUGGGGUUUUCUUAGGUUAGUAUGCUCUUUCUGCAAACUGCCAUGAAAAGAUUGCACUGUGAAUGUUAAGCUACGAGUUACGGACAAAAAUCAACUUGACCGAACAACAAGGAGUCGUCAUCUUUAAAGCAUGCGCAAACUUCUAUGGAUAAUCCCAAUAGACAAAUACAUACUUAUCAAAAAAAAAAAAAUCUACAUAUUGCAAUAGCAAUGAUACACUUUUAUACUUGUAGUGCGUAUGGUGAGUUUAAAAUGGUCUAUUACAUUAGAUAAGCUUUUCAAAGUUUGUAUAAAUGCUAUAAGGACCAUUUCAAUAGUUUUUUGGCCCACAGAUUCACAGACCUUCCCCACCAACUCAAUGAAUACGACCAUUUCUCACCUAGUCCCACAGAUUCAUAGAAAUGGUCUAUCGAUUCUAUCUUUGAUAAGGUUUUGGUUCAGGAACAGCGGCGAACCUACGCUAUACAGAAAGCGGAAAACUGCCACUACUGUAAAGUAAAACAAAUUUAAUUACACCAAGAUUGUUAAGAUUCUGCAGUUUGGUUGGUCACUCAGCAAAGGCUCGAAUCUCCUCUUGACCCCCUCCCUUCAUUUUUUCUUCUCAUUUCUUUAUUUUACUUUUUUUUUACUUUUUUGUGUACGUGUUAUAUUCAUUACUUUUCUUGUUCUUUUUCUUUGUUGUUUCAUUAUUUUUCUUGUUAAUUUUUUUUGUUCCUCAUUCUUUUCAUAGUUACUACUAUUUUCUAAAACAAAUAGUUAUAAUACUUUUCAUUUCACUUGGGUAAUGGGUUCAUUUUGUUUUCUUCAUUUAGUUAUAAAAAUAUUUUUUAGUAUAUUAUCUCUCUAUGUUCUCUUCUAAAUUUUAUCUUUCUUAAAAAAUAAAACAUAACUAUGUAAUAUUAUUAAAUAAAAAAUGUUUUUAAUUAAUAAAUUAUUUUUAUGCCUCCACUCAAAAUAUUUUCUAGAUCCGCCGGAAACAUGGUUGUUCAUGAGUUCUUUUGUAAUGUGAAUAUAUUUCUGCUUAGUGAGACUGUGAGACAAACACUAAGGAAUUACUGAAGACUUUUUCAAUGGAUAUGAUCAUAUGCUUUUUUUUUCUUAGUGAGAGAAACAUUAACGAAUUAUUCAAGACAUGUAUCUUUUUUUUUGUAAUAUAUGCUUCUGCUUAGCGAGAGAAACAUUACUUAAUUAUUGGACAAUUGUUUUUUUCAAUGGAUAUCAUCAGACAUAGUUAUCUUGAUAAUCUGAGUGAUUAUUUAUUGCAUGACAUGUGGCUUUGGGUAGAUAAUGGUGUAUCUUUAAAUAAGAAUUCUACAUCCAUACGCAAUUACAUGUCACCUAACUCUAUAUUUCUGUCUUUAUUUUUUUCUUUUGAACUUAACUCUAUAUUUUUGUCUUAUGGCCACAUUUCUUGAUUAAUGGUUUGUCUGAUAAUAAUUUUUUUGCGAAAUGCUUGUUGCAUUCUUCCUCCACGGCCUUAAAGAAAAAAAAUACUCUUUAUGAUUUAAUAUAAAAAAACAAUAGUCUUUAUUCGAAACAAUAAAAUAUUCAAGGACAAUAUGGUACACGACACAACAUUGCCUGAUAAUCAUAACUGAUUUAAAGGCGAAAACCUUUAAUCAUUACAAUAUGAAAAUUCAGAAUUGCAAACGCAAAAAACUUCAAUCCAAACCAAACCUUGUUAGCCAACCAUUGUUGAUCCUAUGACCAGAAAGAUCGGCAGCGGCGGCGGUGGUGGUGGUGAGAAGCAUCUGACUGGUGAUUGGUAGUUGGUAAUAGCCAUUAUUUUUGUCAUCCAUCGAAGCAACGGUUGCAGGAUCUUGACCAUCACUCAUCUGCUGAGGUUGUCCCAUCAAAAGACCCACGAACGAUUGGUUUGAAUUUGGAUACUGAUUCGAACUCUGUCCCUGAUCAUGAUUCAAACCUGUAUACAUAUCCUGGUUCGAACCAUAGAACAUAGGCUGAGUCUGAUCAUCAAAGUUAGCAGGAGUUUGGUAUUGAAAUGGUUCUUCACGAUUCAUAUUCAUACCCUGGCUCGAACCAUAAAACAUGGGCUGAGUCUGAUCAUAAAAGUUAGUAGGAGUUUGGUAUUGAAAUGGUUCUUGAUGAUUCAUAUUCUGAUGAUGAACAUGAUCAUUAAAACCUCCAGGAGCCUCCUCCUUCACACUCAUAUCCAUACCAUCAAAUUGACGCAUAUGAUCAUAAGCUUCAGUAGGGUUACUUACCAAACCCUCAGUUCCGACAACAAAAGGGUUCGCAUCACCAACGACAGGACCAGACGCAUCUGUAGCAGCGACAUUAGGAGGAACUGGCUCACCAUUCGCCUCGAGGAACUCGAUCCUGUGACUUAGAUUUUUGACAUAAUCACCAAUAAAAUGAUUUAGUUCUCCAAUAAAACAUGGAUCAUCAUAGUGAUGCGGCUUUAGCGUCUCCCCCUUCAAAAGAUCGAACAUAACCUCUCUAAGCUCAAUCUCUCGAUUCUCCGCUUGUAGCCUCAUCGCUUUCGCUUGUCCCUUCUGGAUCCUCUCCUCCAGAUGCCUCUCUUGGUCGUACAUCUUCUUGCACCGUUCCUCCGGCAGAACACCCAUAAACGCCGAGUGCACUGCUUCAGCGCCUUCCCUUGACGGCCAAAACUCCGUCUCCGUGUUGUCGCAGCUGUUGAUAACCACACAAACUUUGACACCGCAGAGAGUUGACAGCUCGUUGGCUUUUUUAAGUAAACCUGUCUUCCUCUUCCUGAAAGUUUGGUUCCUUGCAGUGCUAUUAGUCAUAGGCUCUAUUUUUAUCCUUCCCUUUGGCAUUGUUUUGUGUUGGUGAAUGAUAGAGAUAUGUUGGCACUUGAUAAUGCUCUUGUUUAUAUAGUGUAAUGAGGCUGGUAUUACGUAUGCAGGUCUUAUCACUUUCUUUGGGAUCAUUAAUGCUAAAUUGCAGUAAUGUAUAAUUAUAAUAGUUACAAAAAGAAUAUAUAUAUACUCAUUAACAGUUGUCAGGAAAUCAUUGGAUAGAGCAGAUAAUAAUCAUGUAACUUUAGAUAUUAUUUGUAUAACUCAAGAUAUGUUUCCCUUAGUUGAAGCAAUUAAACCAACCAAUAAGGAAACAGUAAAUUUCAAUGCAAAUUUAGAUGAAAAUGUUGCCAACUAAUGCUGCGUAGGUAGUAAGACUAAAAUUACACAGAUAUAUCUAAAGGAAAAUUUAUACAAUUCUAAUCUAUACUAAUAAAAAUGAUCUUUUGAGGCUCCAUAGAGCGUCCACAUCAGCAAAAAUAACUUAUCCCGAAAGAUGACACGUGACAUAAAAUAUAGUUUUUACAUUUUAAUAUUACUAAUUUUUAAAAAUUAUAAAUAAUAUGUAAACAUACAGCAUAAAAAUAGAAAACUACAUUAAACAUAUGUAAGAUUACCAUUUUUCACUUAAAAAAAAAGAUGGUUUAUCUCCAUAAUGUAACAUUACCGUUUUAUAAAAAAAAACAAAAAACAUUGUAUAUAAUUUCGAAAAUAAUAAAUAUAUGUAAACAUACAACAUAAAAAAUGAAAAUACUACAUUAAACAUAUGUAAGAUUAACAUUUUACAUUUUUAUUUUUUAAAAAAUAAUAUGUAAACAUACAACAUAAAAAAUAAAAAUAAACUACAUUAAACAUAUGUAAGAUUACUAUUUAAUUUUCACUAAAAAAAAGACGGCUUAUCUCCAUAAUGUAACAUUACUAUUUUGUAAAAAAAAACAUUAUAUAUAAUUUCUAAAAUAAUAAAUAAUAUGUAAACAUACAACAUAAAAAAUGAAAAUACUACAUUAAACAUAUGUAAGAUUACCAUUUUACAUUUAAAAUAACAAUAAUAUGUAAACAUACAACAUAAGAAAAAAUAGAAAAACUACAUUAAACAUAUGUAAGAUUAUCAUUUUCACUAAAAAAACGGCUUAUCUCCAUAAUGUAACAUUACCAUUUUAUAAAAUAAGAAAAAAAACAUAAAUAUAACUAUUUGACUAUUUGUCCAAGUUCUUCUAUUAAACAUUGCCGUUUUACAUUAAAAAUAGAAAAAUACAUUAAGAUUUAAACAUCUUUCUUAAAAUAUAAAAUAUAGAUAUUAACUAAAUAUAAAGUAUAAGAAAGAGAUAUACUCAAUAUAUAGAAAAAUAAAUAAUAAGUAAAUAUUAUAAAUAUAUAAAUAUAUGAAUUAUAUAUACAAUAAUAAGUAAAUGCACAAUUUUUAAAAAAUGGAAAGAGUACAUUAAAUAUUAAACAUCUAUCUUAAAAUGUAAAAUAUAGAUAUUAAGUAAAUAAAAAGUAUAAGAAAAAGAAAUACACAACUUAAAAACAAUGGAAAAAGUAUAUUAAAAUUUAAACAUCUAUCUUAAAAUGUAAAAUAUAGAUACUACGCAAAUAGAAAGUAUAGGAAAAGGAAAUACACAAUUUAAAAAAUGGAAAAAGUACAUUAGUAUUUAAACAUCUAUCUUAAAUUGUAAAUCUAUCUUAAAAUAUAAAAUUAUUAGUAAAUAUAAAGUAUAAGAAAUAGAAAUACACAAUAUAAAUAAAAAUAAGCAAUAAGUAAAUAUAUAAUAUAAGUAAAUACCCAGUUUAAAAAAUGAAAAAUUACAUUAAGAUUUAAAAAUAUAUCUUAAAAUUUAAAAUAUAGAUAUUACGUAAAUAGAAAGUAUAGCAAAUGGAAAUAUACAAUUUAAAAAUAUGGAAAACGUACAUUAAGAUUUAAACAUUUAUCUUAAAAUGUAAAAUAGAGAUAUUAAUUAAAUAAAAAGUACAAGAAAUGAAAAUACAUAUACAGGAAAAUAAACAAUAAGUAAAUAAUGUAAAUAUAUAAUAUAUUAAUUAUAUAUAUAAUAAUAAGUAAAUACACAAUUUUUUUUAAAAAAUGAAAAAAGUUCAUUAAGCAUUAAACAUCUAUCUUAAAAUGUAAAAUAUAUAAUAUUAGUAAAUACACAAUUUAUAAAAAUGGAAAAAGUACAUUAAGAUUUAAAUAUCUAUUUUAAAAUAUAAAAUAUAGAUAUUACGUAAAUAAAAAAUAGAAGAAAUGGAAAUAAACAUUUUAAAAAAUGGAAAAAGUACAUUAAGAUUUAAACAUCUAUCUUAAAAUGUACAUCUAUCUUAAAAUGGUAGUAAAUUAUAUAAAAAUGGAAAUACCACAUCAAACAAAAAAAAUAAAAAUGUAUAGUUUUACAUCAAGAAAGUCCCUAUAAAACUCAUUAUUCCAUCAACAUCAACCUCACACUAUCAAUGAAAACUUCAAAGCAUUCGAGCAAAAAAAAUGGUUCCGCCAUCGACUCUUGCCGUCCCAAAAACCUUUAAUGACCUUGAAAGAGAUUUUAUAUAACAACGAACUUUUUGUUAGGUGGAUUCAUUGUUGGAAAACCCGCAACUUCUAAAAACCAAACUUAUUCAUGGGAAUUGAAUUGCUUUUCAUAGACUCAAAGGUAUUCUUACAAAUUUAAAUUAAUCUAAUCUAUAAUUUUAUUGUUAAUAUUCAUACUAACUCUUUCAUGAUCAAACCAUUACAGUUAAUAACCAUUCAAGCGUUUAUCCCGAAACACUUCCUUCCUCGCCGAAUCAUGUAUUGGUUCAUGUUGGUUUAGUAUUGUUUUUGGUUUAUUAACCGGUUUAGGAUGGUCCUAUUGUAAAUAUAAUUUAAGUUGGCUUAGCAUAUAUUAUGCUUUAAAUAACUUAAAUUAAAUAAUAGUAAUAUUAGGCUUAAAAUAUAAUUUUAGAGAGUUUUCAAAUAUAUUUUACAGAACAUUAUAGGUGAUGAAUUUAAUUUAUUAAAUUCGUUUAUUACUGAGUUAUAAAUAUCAAUGAUGGAUUGGUGAGUAUAACAUGAAGACAAAAAUGUAAAUAUUUGAUUUUCAAGAUAAGAAAUUCAGCUUUUAUUCAGUUACUCAAUAUAUAAUAUCUUAAUUUUUUUUUUAAUAUACAUAAUUUAUAUAUAUAGAUUAAUCUUCCAAACUUAAACUAUUAUAUUAUAUAUGAAUAAUUUUUUUAAAUAAAAAUAAUUUCUGAUUUAAAAAAUAAAAAUAAAAACAACAAAUGGUUAUUUUCAAACAAUUGAUGUAAUUUACAUUAUACUAUCAUUUAACAGGUAUUAGAUACAUUUUGAUAUAUCAUUAUUUUCGAGAAAACAAUAAAUUGUUAAACAUUAAUAUCAUCUAGGUUAAGUAUACGAACAACACAAAUUCAAACAUCACAAAAAAUAUUUACAUAAACAUUAUAAUACAAUAAUUUAAUCAAAAAAUACAAUUCAAAAAAAUAUUAUUCUAAAUAAUAGUUAUAUACUUAAUAUUUGAAAAUCCAAGAUAUUUUUGCUAAAAUUGUACUUACCUGGCCAAGGAAAUCGACCAUCUUUUUACGGAUCGAUCGAUUGUUGAGCAUGUGGUCGAUCCGAAAAUACUCUGCAGUUUAAUUAAAUAUCUAAAACUUUUAUUCUAAGACUCAACAGAUAGUUUUACUAAAUAUGAUAACUAGAUAGCCAACAAAAUUACAAAAAAAAUAUUUAAAUAGUAAAAAAAUAUGUUAAUUUAACGUGUUAAAAUUUAAAAAUAAAUUUUAAUUAUGACAUGCAUCUUAAUAUUUAUAUAAAUAUAUAUCAUAACCUAAAUAUAAAUAAUUUAACAACUUAAAUUAGAAAAAAAUAAAAAUCCCGGGCGUAGCCUGGGUUAAUCCCUAGUAAUACUACUAAACAUGCUUAUUUUCUGAAUUAAAGAAAAAAACUUAUUAUAUUAGUUAAACCAAAAUUAUAAAUUUGAGACUCAUUAAAUUACUAUAGCUUGUGUAACACAAGAUAAAUCGAAUCUUUAUAAGAAACCGGAAAUGGCUAAUCACGUCUUUAUUUUAGGUUUGGGAAAUCCGCAAAAAAUCUUACAGAAUAUAGGAAACCGGAAAUGAUAUGUUCUUUCAGAAACUUCUGAUACUUCAAUUCUUGAUAUUAUUUUUCCAUCAUUAAAGAGUAGAAUACAAUGUUGAAAUACAAACAAAUAAAAACAAAGGAUUGCGGUUUAGCUUCUUUUGGGUUUAUUGAUUAUAUAAGUAACAAUAUUCCUUCGCUACUCUAACCUCUCCUCCCAGGAUGGAGUGUAUUUCCCUUUUAUUGGAUUAUAGAACUUUGGUUAGAAACUUUUGAGUUUGUAUUAGGUUUGGUUGUUAUUUAUUAUGUUGAAGAUACCUUUUAUUAUAUAAGUUGCACUCAUUAAACUAAUUAGUGAAUUUAGGCUAAUCCGUCCCGUCAAUAUAUAUUUUUUUACACUAGAGUAGUUUGAGAUUUCUGAGUGUUUUCUGUUUUAAAUUGUGUUAUUUUCCCUCUUUCCUCGUCCUCUUGACUUGUCAUAAUGUAGCUGUAGAUAAAUUAUUUUUAUUUAUUAAUAAUUGAUCAUCUUUUUAUUGAAAUUGUUUACUUAGUACAUUAUAGAUGGAAAAAGCUCCUUAUCUAUGGAGCAAGUAGAAAGAGUGAGAGACAUGCAUAGAGAUGAUCUUGAGGGGAAAAAGUGUUUCAUGCAUCAGAAAGCCUCUUCUUCUGACUCUGGGAAGAUAGGCUUGAGCGGAGGAAAUCUUGUUUCGCAGAAUUCUUGACAGUCCCGUUAAUGAAUCUCUGGUACCAUUUGCCAGAUUCUUUGAGGUUUCUGUCGUCGAGAUCUUAAUAUGAGAAUGGGGAAGCAUUCAUAAAACAUAAAGUACUGAGGUUUACCUUCUUUUGGUUUUCUUGAUUAUAUAAGAACCAAAAUAAAAUAAAAUCAUUUGAAUGAUAGGAAAAUCAUAUGUAAAAUACUAUUAAGUUUCAGUUGAGGAUGAUAGAACUUUGGUGCAGCUAGAUUUGAGUUUGUAUAAGGUUUGGUCAUUGUUUAUUAUGUUGAAAGUCUAUUCUAGUAUAUAAAGUUGAACUUAUUAAGUUAACUAGGCAAAGAGCCCGUGCGAUAUCGCACGGGAACUCAUUUUAUAAAGAAUAUAUUAUAAUCUAUAAUUUAUAAUUUUAUAUGCCUGAUAAAAAAUUAAAUCAUAUAAAUAAUUAACUUUAAUUUUGAUGAUUAAAAUAUGAUUUACAAAGUAUUCAAAUAUAUAUAUAUAUAUAUAUUUUUUAUAAACCUUAAUGUUCCCUUUAAUUUUUUAUCAAAACACAUAUUGUAACAAUUGUGUCUUCAUCCUUUUUAAGUUUUUUCAUACAUUUUUCACAUGAUAGUUAUCUUCAACCACUUUUUGAACAAAAUGCAAUUUUUUUUGCAUGAUAUAUAAUUUUUUUUCCUAUUUAAGACAUAAUAUUAAAAUUAUUAGUUUAUAAUUUUAAACAAUUAUAAUUUAUAUGUUGGUAAUUGUUAUUUUGUAUAUUUAUCUACCUGCUUUAUUUAUUGAAAAUGAAUAUUCAGAAAAUUGAAUAUUGUAAUAAAUAUAUGUUGAUUUACGUUAAUAUGACCCGUCUCAUUUAUAAUAUUUUUUUUUUAAUUUUUGGGAGAGUUCUUAUAAAAUACCAACACUUAUUAUAUAAACUAACACAUUACUUAAAUAAAACCAAUAUUUUUUAAAGCAAUCCCACUUUGAGAUGAAAAGACACCUUGUUUAGAUGAAAAGUUGCAACUUUGACAUUAUUUUUUUCACCAUUUUAUUAUUAGUAGAUUAGUGAAAACUUGAUUUGAAAAAUGCAUGGGAGAUACGAUUUAUAGAUUUUUUAAAGCCUAUUUGAAUAGUCACAACCUUUCAAUAUGAAUAGUCGUAUUCUUCUAAUACUCACAACUUCUUACUUUUUAAAAGAUACUAGUGAAUAGUCACAACUUUUAGACUAUUUUUAGAAGGACACAACCUUACAACAUAUAACUUUUAGAAAAGACACAACCCUCUACACAUAUUUUUCAAAAGACACAACCUUUCAACAUAAUUGAAGUUCACAACCUUAGGAAUUAAUUGGAAAAGACACAACCUUACAACAUAGAACUUUUAGAAAAGACACAACCAUUUACACUACUUUUUCAAAAGACACAACCUUUCAACAUAAGUGGAUUUACAACCUUAAAAAUUAAUUGGAAAAGACACAACCUUCCGACAUAGAACUUUUAGAAAAGACACAACCCUUUACACUUCUUUUUCAAAAGAUACAACCUUUCAACAUAAGUGGACUCAUAACCUUUGGAAUUAAUUAGGAUUGCUAUUAUUAGUACUAGGAUUCGGACCCCCGCGAAAUCGCGGGGGAGGAUGUCUUAAUUUCGACACUGCUUAAGUAAACUGCCGCAAUGUCUCUAUGACACCUCCUCGUCUCAUCGUCAGAUCUACUGUGCAAGAGUGUGGACUCGCCAGAUUUACUCGGUACUACAUCACUGAUGUGUUUCUAUCAUACUAAACCGUCUCAAGCAUUGAUGGUUCUUCACAAAAUCGGCUCUACGGCUCUCCUUCUCCUUUCCUCGUGGCCGUUACUUUUCUGCAGAGUCGAGAAUUUUAAAAUCCAUAAAUUCCCAGAAAACGUUGAUCGAAACGGGCUGAUAUCGAGAUAACUCUAUGUUAACACUAUUAUAUGCUAUUGAAAUUAAGUUUUAACGCAAUUAGGGUACAUAAUUGUAAUAAUUAUACAAAUGGCUUUACUUCAAUUUCAACACUACUUUAAUCAACUACCGCAACAUCUCUAUGACACCUCCUCUUCUCAUUGCCAGAUCUACUAUACAAGAGUGUGGACUCGCCAGAUUUACUCGGUACUACAUCACCACUGUGUUUUUAUCACACUAAACUGUCUCAAGCAUCAACGGUUCUUCACAGAGUCGGCUCUACGGUCACCAUUGCAUCUCCAUCACGCUAUAGCGUCUCAAGCAUUGACGAUUCUUCACAAAGUCGGUUUUACAAUCGUCUCAUCCUUUUCCUCAUCGCAUGAACUAUUGUGCAAGAGUGUGGAUUCCCCAAAUUUGUUUGAUACUACGUCCUCGUUGCGGUUCCAUCAGAUUACACCGUCUCAAGCAUUGACAGUUCUUGACAUAGUUAGCUAUGUGACCCGUUCACGGGAACUGCUAUCUUCUACAAAGAUUCAUAGACUUUUCACCUUCAAAACCCAUUUGUUUGGUUUUUCAACGUCGCUUUCGACUUCUUUGUGUUCCUUCGAAUACAUGCUUUAGGACUACAAAUGAAAAUUCUCUUUAAAUCUUUUCUCUCUUUAGUCACAUCUAUCUUUCGUUAUGUUUCAGCUAUUUUAGUUUAUCAGUUUACUGUCGAGAAUCUCUUCUCCGAUGUUAACCAACUUAGCCCAUAUAAGUAUUUGGUGUUAAAAAAAGUUGUAUAUUUGAUUUCAAAAAGAAAAUUUAAAUUAAUAUAUAAAACGGUAAGUCAAAUUAUAAUAUAUAAAAUUAAUAUUGAAAAGAACGUAUAAAUGAUAUAUUUAAAAUGAAAAGAAAAACAUAUUUCAAAAUAUUUUAAACUAUUGCAUAUUCAUCACAAAUAAAAUGUACUAUGCAAAUUUUAUGCUCAAUAUUGUUAAAUAUAAAUCAAAUGUACAUAUUAAUUAUGAAUACGAGAGUUCAAAUAAUUUACAGUGUCAAAAAUGGUAUAAUAUAUCUUUGGUGGAAAAUGAAAUUAGGUUGUAGGUCAAACUAUGCGAUCAUUACGAGAAUACAAAUGAAAGAAGAUAAUUAUUUUAUACUAUAUUUGGAUACUUUUUUAGAAAUUAAAACAAAAGAAAGGUUUAAAAUGAAUGUUUGGCUGUAUAGAAGAACAUAAAACACCAUAAUCUUUGAAACUAAAAAAUAAAGUAUAUCUUGAACUACUAAACAAAGAAACCACAAAAUGUUUAAAUAUCUUUUAGAAAAGGAAAAUUUUAAAAUUGAACAUAUACGAAUUGCGAUGUCGAACUUUAGUGUUCAAAUGUAUACACUGAGAAAUAACCAUUCAAAUGUGAAACAAGAAAAUAGUGGAACAAAUAAAUGUGCAUACUGUCAUGCAACAAAAUUUUAAUAUUGGAAUAUAAUAUAGGAAAUGAAAAAAUAAGUGUUAAAGGUAUUAAUUAUUUGAUUAAAUAAGUGGUUACUAAAUAAAUUAAAUAUAUAUUUAAAUUUAUAAUUGGAAUAUAACCUUAUCAUGAGUUUUUACUUUUUAAAAUGUAGAGCUCUUCCGAAAAUUGAACAUACUCAAAAUUUGGGUCUUUUGGAUCAUUUUAUACAUUUCUAGUUAUAGAAUUUGAAAUAUUUUAAUAUUCUCUCAGUGAAUUGGAAUUCAGUUCUACUAUAAUUUAGAUAAUUAUAAUUAACAUAAACAUGUUUAAAAAAUCCUAAACUGGAAGCAUUGUCAAACUUAAACCUACAAUUGAGUUGUUGUGAUAUGAAAUGAAAUAAACAAAUUUUAAAGACAGCUGUUAAUAUUUUUUUACUAUAACAAGCAGUUAUAGCCAGAAAGAAUUCGGAAGAAAAUAAGGUUUAACAAUCGUUGUCAAUUUUUCUUUUAUUUUUUGUUUCAUUUCAAAUGUCUACAGUAGUUGCCAUCCUUCUUAAGAAACAGUAAAAACUUUAUAUAUUAAUAUUUGAAAAAUUUAUAAGUUAACGCAAUCUUUACAAAUGGGUCGUAUCAUACCAAUGAUAUAAUUUUAUAUAUGUUUUUUUUUUUUGAAAAAGGGUUUUCAAAUAAUUUUUUUUUUAUAUAUGUAGAAAAAUAGAAAUUAAAAUUAACAGAGAUUGAGUUUCCUUCAUAAUAAUGUGACUGAUAUUAUAAUCAAGGUUUUUUGUUUGAAUUAUCUUCAUCAUAAUGUGACUGAUAUUAAGAUUAAGGUUUAUGGUUUGAAUUACCUUCAUCAUAAUGUGACUGAUAUUUAAAUUCACUGAAUAGUGCACACAUAUUUCGGGCCUUUCGAGUCAGGAUCCAUUCACACCCAUUCGAUUAGACCUGUUUGCAUCUGUUCAUAACUCGUUUGCACUCACGACCAGUUAAAACGAUUUUGACUGUUUGGAAAAUUGGUGGCACAUGUUUUGUUACUUUUUGUUUGCACAUUCUUCUAUUUCUUAAUAAUCUCAUAUGCUCAUAACAAUAGUAUUAAGAUAAUAAGAGUAAUGGACAAAAAAAUUUCAAGGUGGUUGCUAUCUUGUCUUUAGUAAGAUUCUUGUCUUUAGUAAGAUUAUUCCAGCAUGAACACCAUUUAGUGGAUUUUAUAACUUUGUAAUAAAUGAAUAUCACUGAGAGAAAAAGUUUACAUAUCACCAUGUGCAUAAAGGAAUGUGUUGUUUAAAUAAAUAAUUGUUCAAGGAAGAGUUGCCAAGUAUAAAUUUAUUGAUGACACCAACAAAAGUAUUUUAUGUUCUUUUAGUUCAUAAAAAAAAAAAUUAUUCCCAUUAGAUUGAAAUUUUAUUUUUCUGUAAAAAAAGAUGCAUGUGAAAAAGGUGUGUGUUUUUAGAAAUUAAAAAUCAUUUUGAAGAGUGUAUCUUUCAUAAAUUAAUUGAGACGUGUAAACGGUGCGUCGGAAGGACAUGAUUAAACAGUUUUUUCUCUUUCAACCUAUGAACCAAUCUAAGCAUAGACCUGGUCCAUCCAACAUCACGUCCAUUCCUUUAAUAGAGUUUUAUGGUUGGAAAGAAAGAAAACUCGAUCUCUAAAAAAAUAGUUUAAUUAGUCUUUUAUAUCCCACAUGCAAACGAAGAUGUUCCCUUUUGCGGCUAAGAGCAUCUCCAAAAGAAACUCUAUAACUCCAAAUAUAGAGUUUUUUGCUCUCCAAAAAGGAAAUUCAAAACUUCAAAUUUGAAGUUUUGAAGAGUGAAACUCCAAAUAUAGAGUUUCACUUUUCAAAACUUCAAAUUUGAAGUUUCAUCUUUUUAUUUGCAUUUUGGUUCUUACAAUUAUACAUCAUAUUUAUAAUUCUUAAAUAUUUUUUUUGUUUAUUGUUUUAAUCCUUAAAACUUUUAUAUCUCAUAAAUAUUUCAAAUUUGUUAUAUAAACUUAAGUUUUACACAUGAAAUUAAAUAAAAAAAAUUAAAACAAGAUUUAUAAUAUUUUAAAACUAGAAUUAAACAACAAGAAUAUUACAAAAAACCAUAAUAAAAACUUAUUAAAAAGACACAUGAAGACAUAAUUAUUACUCAAAUUUAAAUAUUAUAACAACACUAAUAGUCUGGUAAAUUUGCUCCGGAAACUCCAAAAUCUCCAAAAUAUUGUUCAACAAAUUUUGUGUAACCGAAGAUGAUUGUUGUUGUUGCUCUUGACGCAUUUUUCGUAUGAUUCUUUCUUGUUCAGAUCGAAUGUAUUCACGAAUAUUAACGUCAUCGAUAGAAGCUAAGUUUUUUAGCAAUAUUUUAUUUUCCUCUUUUAUUUCUUUAAAAGCUAACUUUUUUGCUUCAUUUUGCAGUCGUAAUUCAAUCAUCUCAUGACCUUUUUCCCUGCUUGUUGUACUUUCGUUUAAAAGAUCAAGGAUUUUUUCGUUUGAUGAUAUCAAACUAUCAGCAGACAUAUUAUGAGGAUAUCCGGUUUCAACAAUUUUUGGCUCGUAAUCUACAAAUAAAAAAUAAAGAGAAUCAUUUCUUACUUCGAAAUAGUUGAUCAUAUAUGGGAGCAUUAUGGAAAUAAUUUUAUGCAAUAAUGUAAUAUUUGCUUGCAGUUUAAUAUUUAAUUAUGUACUUUUAUUUAUAAUUUUAUAUUUUAGUGUAAGAUUUUUUUUUUAAUUAAUAUUUCUGUAAUAUUUAUAUAUAUGUAUUAAUUAUUUAUAGAAGUUUUAUGAAUUUACAUCAACUAUGACAAACAUAAGGAUCAUAGUGUAAAAUAUAAAUAAUUUUGAAGUUAGGUUUGAAGUUUUAUUUUUGGAAAAGAACACAUUGAAACUUCAAAUAUAAAGUUUUGGAAACUUCAAAAUAGAGUUCCUUUUUGGAGAUGCUCUAAUAAACACUCAAAUCAUCCAGUCAUUCCCAUCUAAUUAUUCAGUCGACUGAUUAAAAUAACGAUGGAAAAACGUAACUCCAGCCUUCCGUACUUUUUCUUUAUAACAUAAUACUACUUGCCGUUGAAUUUUUUUUAAAUUUGCUUAUCAUGUAUCUACAAAGUAAUAGCCAAAAGAAAAUGUUUUGAAAAUCAAUUUCUUCCUUACUUUUUUUUGAAGAGGCAAAGCGUUUAAUUUGCCGCAACCAAACCGGUCAGAAUCCAAAGCAAACAGCGUUUGAAGAAGAUUGUACGGAGACCAAAGCGCGUCUAACUGACAAGGCCGACUAGUGUUGAGUCUAGCCCAUGGUUUGCCUUCCCCACUCCAGUCCACGAAAAUUUUCUCCUCCCAAACCGUUUGUAAAACCAAAAGAAGUGUUUCAAAAUUCAUAAUGAAACGGACACAAACAUACACGAUGAAAACAACAUCAACACUAAAGUAUAACCAAACAAAUAAAAUUUUCAACAUAAAUUAAGAACAUGUAUGAAAUAAAAGACGAUAAGUUAAAUCAAAGAGUGAAUAAUUAAUUUGAACCAGUUAAUCGGCUUCUUCUCUGCAUACUUCUACAAUCUAUUCACUGCAUUUGAAACAAUGCAUCUCUAUGUUUGGAAAUUUGUUAAAUACAAAAUAUCAUUACUUCUAUUCAGUGUCGUACCUCUCUGAGAUGAACUGAAUCGUGAGUCUAACAGAGAGUAAUCAAAUAAUGAUGGGAAGUGUUAGGAGAAAUGUCUUCUCCUAACACUUUUUUUUUUUUUUUUGCAAAAAAAAAGUGUUAGGAGAAGAAAUCUAAGCCAAAAAUUGUACUUACUAUAAUUGCAGAAACUCCUAGGAGACAUUAAAUUUGAUAAUUAGUGAAUUGAAGAGAAAGAGCAACACCAUCAGGUUUGAAAUUAUAAGAAAAGAAGAAAGGGCGAAAGGAACAAUGAUCUGCAACAGAAAAAACAAACUACAGAUUUCGAUGUCGAGGAAAUGGUGGGAGGUUAAAAGCAGAAGGGAGAAGUUAAGAAAACGUGAAACAUAUCUGAAAACCGAUACAGUCUCUCUUCAAUAUAUAAUUUUUGAAAAGUUGCAAUUCUUAAACGAAGUUGAUGACGGUUCCACUGAAACACUAAGUGUGAAAAGAUAUACAAAAGUAAAGAUAAUUUCUACAAUUUGUCAUAAACUCUGGAAGGGAUUUCCCUCUGCAACAUCAUGUGCGAAAAGAAUUGUAGGUAACAGUUGUAAGCUUUGGUGGUUUUUACAACUUUCUAUUAUCAAAUACAUACAACUUACUCUAUUUUAUGAAAAGGUUCAAUCAAAGGGUCGUUAAAUGGUAAAAUCUCUGAAAAGAUACAACUUUUCACUGAAUGAACAUGUUUUUUGCUUAAGUGAACGGUUUUAUCACAGGUUUCUACUAUGAAAGAGUUCAAGUACGGGUUUGAUGGUUAAAAAAUCUGAAAAAAUACAACUUUUCAUUGAAUAAACAUGUUUGUUGUUCAAGUGAAACUAUGACAUCAUACUCAGGAUCCUAAAUAAAAUCAUAGCCGUUAGAUUAGAAGUUAGAAACAAACUUCACCGUUGGAUGUUAACUUUUUUUUCCUAUAAAAAGUUGAUGACAUCAUCAGGUAAAAAAACAGGUUUGCUAUUAUAUAUAGAUUAGUAGAUUAGUGAAUUUAAGCUGAUCGGUUUGAUGUUUAUAUAUUUAUUACACAAAACUAGUUUGCGGUUUGGAGUAAUUAUUUAUUUAUUUUCUCUGUGUGUCUGAGUGAUGUGUUUUGGUUUAAAUUGUGUUAUUUCACUCUCUCUCUCUCGAUCAUCUUGACAAAAUGUAGUUGUAGACAAAUUUUUUAUUCAUUAGUAACUGAUCAUCUUUUUAUUGAGAAUAUUUAUUUAGUACAUUAUUAUAGGUAGAAGAAGCUCCUUAUCUUUGGAGCAACUAGAAAGAGUGAGAGACAUGGAGAUGAUCUUGACCGGGGGGAAAAGUGUUUCAUGCAUCAGCGAACCUCUUCUUCUGACUCUGGGAAGAGAGGCUUGAGCGGAGGAAAUCUUGUUUCACAGCGUUCUUGACGGUCCCGUUGAUGAAUCUCUGGUACCAUUUGCCAGAUUCUUUGAGGUUUCUAUCGUCAAGAUCUUCCCAAUUAACGUAACUGAGUCCAAAUCUGACGGUAAAGCCUUUACAGAAUUCAUAAUUGUCUCCAAGAGCCCAUGCGAAGUAUCCUCUCACGUUGACACCCUUCUCCCUGAAAACAAGAACAAUCAUAUAUAAAUGUUAGCAAAAAAGAAGAAGAAAUAACAUAUGAAGAAAAUCAUUUAUAGUAGUAUCCACUCACUUGAUGACCUUGCGGAGAAAACAUAAAUGACUGCAGAGAUAAUCAAUUCGCUUGUAAUCGGCAAUAGCCUGCUCACGGUUUUCUUCACUGGGGGUACUAAAUCCUAAAUAAACCGCCACAUUAGAAAUAUUCCACAAUAAAGUCAGUUUCUUCGACUAAUAUCAAAAUACAAUAAUUAUUAUGUGGUAUAAAUAAAAAGAGUUCGUAAAACUCACCGUUCUCGGUGACAUAGAUUAAAGGGUCUCCGUAUUUGGUUUUGAAGUAGUCCAUUACGUAGUAAAUGCCUUUUGGGUAGUAAUAGCUGUUGCCGUUUACCUUGUCUUCAACGAACUGUGAAAAUGGAAGUAAAUAAAUAUACACAUCAAUUAAAAAACAUAAUUAGGGUUGUUAUACUGAAAACUGAAAAAAUGAAAGAAAAACAAAUCUUAGGGGGUGGAUCAUUGAUAUAUACCAGUGGACCAAGAAAUUCACCACGUGAGUUAUCAUCUGUAAACACAAGGAUGAAAUAACAGAUGGUCACUCAUAAAGUAUGUUGCAACAAAAAGGAGAUAAAAGAAUAUUUAUAUGUAUAGAAAGGCUGUAUCUAAUUAGUGGUAAUAGACUAGUACAUGUGAGCUUUACGCCAGCGUCCAUCAUGGCAGUGUGUGUCUCUGAAGGAUAUGGGUUAGGUUUUGGCUGGGCGUACUGAGUGACGUAAUAGUUGAGACCAAGAAAAUCAUAUGAACCGGCAACGAGUGCGGCUUCUUCCUCGGUAAAGUUGGGAAGCCUACUACCCACAAUCUGCCUCAUGAUGUCUGGGUAUCUACCCUUUGUUAGCGGCUCCAUGUACCUGAUCCAUGUAUAUCUUUUAAUUAUACAUACAUACACUAUAUACUGUUACAUUGUUCUGUAAUAUAUAUAUAUAUAUAUAUACCAUCCAUGGAAGAAUUGGUUCAUCCUCUCAGCUGCUUCUAUGGAGGCAGGAUCAGACUCAUCAAAUGGAAGAAACCAUCUUGUAAUCAUUACAGGUCCAAUCUUCCCUUUUUGGAACUGUUGGUUACGUGAUAUAUGACUAAGUUAGAAUCAGAUAUCUUAGAUUACACUACACCAUCUUUAUCACGUAUUGAGACAACUCACCUUGUAUUUGGUCCUGUAAAGAUCGACGACCGUGGCAUGAGCAAGAAGCUGGUUAUGUGCAACGAUGUAGGGUUCUGUUGAAGAAUUUCCACCGUAACACCUGUGCUUGGUAUCAACCAUAGGAGAACAUCGACCGGGUGCAUCUGUUCCAACUGCAUAGCCUCUAGUAGGGACUGUGUAUAGCUGGUUGAUCGUGAUCCAGUGCUUUACCUUUCCACCAAAUUCUUUGAAACAUAGAUCCGCGUAGUCUUUGAAAUCUUGUCUGUGCAUAUUAAUAUAGAAUCAUUUCAGUAAUGCAUGUAACUAAAACCAAGUCUUUUUCUUCUUUUAUUAAUAAUAUAAGAAGCAUGGCACAAAUAUAAACAUACAUGAUCUGGCGGUCUAAGAAACCUUCAUACUCAUCUUGGAGUGUUUGAGGAAGGUCCCAGUGAAAGAGGGUAACGAAAGGCGUUAUAUUCUUUUCGAGUAGUGCAUCUAUGAGUUUGUGGUAGUAAUCAAGACCUCCUUGGUUCACUCCCCUACUCACCUUUCCUUCUGCUCAUGUAUAUAUAUGUCGUACAUUAAUUAGUACUUUUCUCAACUAAAUGAUCCCAAUUAAAAUACAAACGAAUCGAUAACAUGUACAUACUUGGAAUGAUUCUUGACCACGCAAAGGAGAACCUGUAGCCAGUAGCAUUGAGUUCGCCCAUCACGUCUACAUCUUUCUGCAGUUUACAUAUUUUAAUCACAUGUCAAUCCACACGUAUAGUUUUAUAGUUUUUAUAGGGUGAACGAUCUAUUUCCCCACGAGAACUAUCGUAUAGCAUCAGAUCUCCAUCAAACUAUGACCUCGUGUUAAAACUCCAUGAAUUUAAAGUUGUCAACUUAUUUCUCUCCAAAUUAUAAGUUGUAAAUUGAUUUCUCCCCAAAUCUAUAGUUCAAAACUUAAUUGUCCAUAGACCAUGGUUUUAAUCGGUUUACUAUUAACCUACCAAUUUUAAACUAAUUAAAACCUUUUUUAAAAAAAACUGAUUCAUUAAAAAAUUGAAUUAAAAUUGCCAAAAAAAUUUGUUUGUCUAAUAAAAAAUUCUGGGAAUCACUUUUUUUUUUGUGAAUCGCUUUUUUUUUAAUAAAAAAUUAGUUUGAGAUUUGUAUUGGUUUAAUUGGUCGGUUAACCGAUUAAAACCAUGGUCUAUGGACAAUUACGUUUUGAAAUAUCGGUUUGGGGAGAAAUCAAUUUACAACUUAUAAUUUGGAGAGAAAUAAGUUUACAACUUUAAAUUCAUGGAGUUUUAGCACGAGGUCAUAGUUUGGUGGGGAUCUGAUGCUAUACGAUAGUUCUCGUGGGGAAAUAGAUCGUUCACCCGUUUUUAUACAUAUAUAGUUCAGUCGUAUAUAUGAGUAUCAUUGUAUUAACCUGCCAUCUCGUGUAUGACUCACAAGUAGUGUCUCCAUUCUUCAAAUCUGACCCUGAUUUCUCUGAUAGUAGUUACAAAUACAUUAAUACAUGUACAUAUAAACCGACGUUCAUCUCAUGUGUAUAUAUACACUGUGACGUACCUGGAUAUCGGUGACUGAAGCCAUCCCAAAUGUUAACACCACGACCUCUUCCUCCUUCGAUCUGAAAUGAAAAGAAACAACCAUGCGAAGUUGCAUUUUAGUAUUUUUGAAUUGUAUUUAUUUAUACGUCAAAAACAUUUGUUACAUGCCUGGUAAGCAGAAGAUGCAACACCGAAGAUGAAGUCUUUUCCGAAGUUUUUACUGCUUAAAAUAUCAGUGUUACUACAUGUGAAUGGAUUGUUCUCUUCGCAAGUAAUUUCUUCAUCAGCUUUGCAACUCGCAGCAGCUAAUAGAAAAACUAAAGCGAGUCCAUGAAGAAGCUUCAUGGUUAAUAUGUUGAUGUUUGUGUUGUGUUGUGUGGAACCUUGUGCCCAUCUAGGGUUUAUAUAGCCCUUCCAAAAGAAGAGUGUCGUAUGUAUUUUUCGUCUUAGUAUCUUGAUAUUUUGGGAGAGGUUUAGAUGAGAUGAAUCCCGUGGAUUCACUUACUUUAGCUCAGUGCUCACCGAUUUUGCUUAUAUUUCUUGUUUGUUUCCACUUUUUAGUCUUCCAUUAUCUAUUGCAGAUAAUUCUUUUAGUUACAUAGCACAUAUUUUAUGUAAUUUUUUUAUUUACAUAGCACAUAUUUGUGUUCCUUUACCUGAACACGUACUACUUGGAACACGAAUUGUGUCACAUCUUCAAAUUGAUCCGUCGAUCGACAGUGGUGCAAUGCAGCAUGUGUAUAUCGAAGGUUUGCGCGAAACUUGAACGACAAGAAUUAUAUAUCAAGAUUGGUUGUAGUAAAUAAUGUUCAAAGCUUCGUCAUAACGCCAUAAAGUUAUUGAAGAUUUUUAUCGUAACAUUAUCAAGUGUUGAAUUAAUCUAGAGUAACACUGAUUCAAGGCCACACUUUCACGAGCUUCACCGCUAUCACAAUAUAUCAAAAAAGGAAAAGAAAAAAACAAUCACAACAUAUCUUAUUGGUUUUGAUUCUUUUGACCUCUCUAUGUAUGCCUUUAACACAUGAGACCGGAGUCUCCGAAAGAACAUUUUUUGCUUUUUUUCUGUAUCGUUUAUAGAUGAUUGGAAGGGUUGCAAUGCAAGAACCUUGUGUUAACCUACAAGUUUAUUCAAUAGUUUAGCUCUAUACUUAUUUUUUUAUGUUUUUCAAAAUUGGAUAUUCUUUUUGACAAAAGAUUCUUCUAUUGAAAUACCUGAAACAGUACUAGCUAUGACUUCAACCAUGAAGAUGACUUCAACCAUGAAGUAAAAUAAACUGUUCAUAUUAUUUCAAGAAUAAAACAUUUAAUUAAAUUUAUGUGCUUUAGGCCUGCCUUCUAUAAUAGUUUCAGUUUAAAUAACAUUUUUUUAGAACUACUAGAUUUAAAUAACAUUUACGUUACGAGUUUACACUGGAUUUUUCUUAGGUUACACGCUCUUUCUGCAAACUGCCAUGUAAAAAACUGCACUACAUUUAAGCAAAAAAAAAAUGCACUACAUUAAGCUACGAGUUACGGACAGUGGCGAAGGCAGGUUAUAGGGUGUAGGGGCAUGUGCACCCUCAAUUAUAUUAAAAAAAUACAUACCCCAACUCUUAUUGCAUGCCAAAACAUACCUUAACUAAUCAAAAAUUUGAAAUUUAUGCCUAGUCUUUAGAAGUCAACGCCAAUUUCAAUAUAUACUAUUAUUUGCGAAGUAAAUUUUCGCAACGGAGCUCUCCCGUUAAAAAUUAGAGUAGCUAAAAUCUAUGUUACCCCUAAUAAAUUUUUAUAUAUAUUCUAUUAUAUAAUAAAAUGAAUUUUAUUUGCGAAGUAAUUUUUCGCAACAGAGCUCUCACGUUAAAAAUUAGAUUGGCUAAAUUCUAUGUUACCCUUAAUGAAUUUUUAAAUAAAAUGAAUUUUAUUUUAAAAAUCUUAUAUAUUUUUUAAAAAUAAUUAUGAUGAUUCUUAUAUAUUAUGUUGUUAUCUUAAAAUAAUAUUUUACUAUUAUAAAAGUAAAAAAAUUAAAAGAAGUUAUUUUUUUACAAUAUUAUAUUUAAAAAAAAAGAUAAUUCUUAUAUAUACAAAUAUAUCUUAAAAUCACUUCUUAGAAAAUAUCCUUAUACAAAUAUAUUGCUCCAUUAAUAUUUACUUAGAUAUUAUUUUUAUCUUAAAUUUUAACUUUCAAAAUAGUAAAAUAUUAUUUCAAGAUAACAACACAAUAUAUAAGAAUUAUCAUAUAUUUUUAAGAAAAUAUAAUAUUGCAAAAAUCAUGUCUCUUAAUUUUUUUUACUUUUACAAUAGUAAACUAUUAUUUUAAGAUAACAACACAAUAUAUAAGAAUCAUCAUAAUUUUUUAAAAUAUAUAAGAUUUUUAAUAUAAUUUUUUAUUAUUAUAUAAUAGAAUAUAUAUAAAAAUUCAUUAAGGAUAACAUAAACUUUAGCCACUCUGUUUUUUAACGUGAGAGCUCCGUUGCUAUAAAAUUAUUUCAAAAAUAAUAGUAUAGAUUGAAAUUAGCGUUGACUUCUAAAGACUAGGCAUAAAUUUCAAAUUUUUGAUUAGUUAAGGUAUGUUUUGGCAUGCAAUAAGAGUUGGGGUAUGUAUUUUUUUAUCAACUCAUAGUCCAGGCAUGAAUUUUAAAUUUUUGAUUAGUGUAGGUAUGUUUCGACUUGCAGUAAAAGUUGAGGUAUGUAUUCUCUCAGCAACCCCUAGUUCGGGCAUGAAUAGGCCGUUUUCCCCUACAUUAAGCUACGAGUUACGGACAGUGGCGAAGGCAGGUUAUAGGGUGUAGGGGCAUGUGCACCCUCAAUUAUAUUAAAAUUUAAAAUUUUGUAUGUAAAGCAUAAGAAACAGUCGUCAUAUUUAAAACGUGAGCAGCCUUCUAGGUAUAAUCCAAAUAGACAAACACUGUAAAAAACUUUUUUACCACAGUGUUAUUUGUUUCUCGCUUGUUAGAAAAAAAACUGUCUCCAGAUAUCCCCUCAGUCGGUUGCUCUCCUAGAUUUCUCCUUCAAGAUUCGCGGAUCUAUGGAGAAAAGAUGAUUUGAGGCUCUCGUUCGGGUCUUCUCCUCGGUAUGAUUCUCUCAACACCAAAGCAUGGCUGCUCUUCUAGUCAUCUGAUUUCAGAGCUUUCGGCUCUCUUGUUCUUCAACGGUCCAAAAGAGGUCGAAUGAUGCUGCGCCCUGCCUUUUCCUUGCUUUGAAGCCGAAUUUGUUUGAGUGGUCGGCUUGUGUUAAGGAACCAGAGUUGAGUGCCAUAAACCUCUGGCUUGCUUCUGCCACCGUCACUCCACGCUUUAACUGUUGGUUUCUUUUCAUCUGAUAGGGUUUUGAGGGAACCGUCACGUUACUUUUGGAGUUGUUCCGCGUCUGGAGUAGACCUCACCUUAUGUUAUCCGGACCAGGACUUAGUCAAACCUGCUUUGCCUUGAUUCCUUUCGAAGUCGCCUUCUGGAUAAGCUUUGGUUCCUAUCCGGCUGAUUUACUCUAAUGUGUGAUGAUCUUGCUGCAGAUACCCGCAAGAAACCAUUUUGUGGAAACCAUUUUUCAUCCAAUCAAAAUUUUGGUUUUUGAUUUUGUUUUUGUAAAAACUAUUUGAGUUGCCAAUCAAGAUUUUCAAUACAUAGAUUCCCUAAAAUUUAGGGAAACUAGUUUUUGAAAAGUUUAACCAAUUUAUGAAAAAAACCAAAAACCAACUUUUGGGAGCUUUUAUGAAGAAAAACGAAUUUUGAUUUUAUUUUGUAGAAACUACUAUAUUUUAAUUAAUAAAUAAUAUUUUCAUAAAAAUAAAAUUAUCAUAAAAUAUUUUAUAUAUUAGAUAUUAUUUAAACAAUAAUGUGAAAUAUUUUAAUUUGUGUUUCAUAUCUGUAAAUCAAUUUAUAUAUUUUAUAAAUAAUAUUAUUUAAUUUUAAAACUUAGCUAUUAGUUUCUAUAAACAAACAAUUGAAUUAUUUUAAUAAUUAUUAGUCACAUUAAAAAUAACAAAUAUUAUAAAAACAUAAUAUGUUUUAUUAAUACAAUAUAUUGUAUAAUCCUGAAAUAUAAAAAUUGCCAUUCAACUUUAAGAAAAUAUAAAUAAUUUAUAUAAGAAAAUUUAUUUUUGUAUAAUUUAUAAUAUUUAUAUAAGAGAAACUAUUUAUUCAAGUUUUUAAAAUUAAAAUAUUUUAUAUAAGAAAAUUUUCUAAGUAGUUUCAAAAUUUAAUUUUUUUAAUUUUGUGUAAUUUAUAUAUAUUUUAUGAUUUAUAUUUUAUAUAAUAUAUAAUAUAUUUUCAUAAAAAUAUAAUAAUUAAAAUAUCUUAUUGUAUUUUAUUUUAAAAUAAUAAUCACAAUAUUUUGAUAAGUUUUAAUUGUAAAAUCUAAAUACUUAUGGCUAUUUUGUUGUAUUAUUUUAAAGUAAUCUAUUAACUAAUUUUUGAAAAUAAAAAAAUACUGCAAAACCAAGAACCAAAAUCAAAAUCUAAAAACCAAAAACUAAAAACCAAAAGCUGAAAACCAAAAACCAAAAUCUAAAAACCAAAAACUAAAAUCUAAAAACCAAAAACUAAAACUAAAAACUACUGAAACAAUCAUCACCUAAGUUUCAAAAUCCUGGAUGGUUUUUAGAUUUUAGAUUUUAGUUUUUGGUUUUUGGCUUUUGGUUCUUAGUUUUUGGAUUUUGAUUUUUUUAGUUUUUGGAUUUUGGUUUUUUGAAGAAACACGAAUGGCAGAUUUUAGUUUUUGAUUAUUUUUUAAUUUAAGAAAAUAUUUUAUUUUAAUUUUGAUUUUACUGUUGUUUUAGUUUUCACAUUAGUUUGGAUGAUGAUUUUCAGUUUUAAUUUUAAUAUAUUUUAUUUAUUACUUUUUUGAAGUUGAAAUAAAAAAUAAUAACAAAAAUCAAAAUUUAAUUAAAACAAAAAGUAGCUUCUGAAUUUUAUUUUUUUCUUUAGAGUUUUUGUUUUCCUAAAAUUUGAUUACUGAUUUAUUUUUGUUUUCUAUUAUUUUUAAAUUUUUAACUUAUAACUAAAAUAUUUUCCCUUACGAAACAUACAAUUACUAAGAGAAUAUAUCACAUCUUUAAACAAAAUAAUACUAAUAGAUUAUUAACAAAACAUGCAAAUUUUACAUAAAGUAAACUUAAAUAAUUAAUUUAGUUUUCAUGACAAAUUUAAAAUAUUUUUCUGAAUAUAAAUUAUUUUUUAUUAUAUAUGUUAAAAAUAUUAUGUUUACUAAAAAUUAUUUGCUUAUAGUAGUUUCCAUUUUUUUUUAUGAAACAAAUAUUUUUUGAACUUCUUUUAGUUACAUGUACGAGAACUUUGUUCUUGUAUAUAAAUUUCAUUUUUUUAAAUGCUGAUUAAGAAAAUGAAAUUAUUUUAUAAAAAAGUUAAAAGAUGAAAAUCUAACGUGAUGUUUGUUGUAGAAACUUGGAAAAGGUGGUUUUAGCUUUUCUUAAGAAAAUAACAAUUUGUUUCAAAAACCAGUUUCCCUAAAUUAUAGGGAAUCCAUUUCUCCAAAAAUUUGAUUGGCUAAAAAGUGGUUUUUUUUAAAACAAAAACUAAAAACUACCGCAGAAUCUGCAAACAAUCAUUGGUUUUCUGAAAUCAUGUUCUAGCUAAGGCUUCAACAGUUCUUUAGGUGAUGAUUAAACAUUCUUAGUCUUUGAAAGUCUUUUUAAUUUCUUUGGGUGGGGGGGCUUUCUAAGACCUUUGCUUUGAUUACCUAUCCUAGAUGCAUUAGAAUUUGAUCUCUCAAACUAUAUUUAUAUUUCAUUGUAUCAUUAUCUUGAGAACUACUUAUUGCAAUAGAAAUGAUAGGUUUUAUUACUUGUAGUGCGUAUGGUGAGUUUAAAAUGGUCUAUUACGUUAGAGAAGCUUUUCAAAAUUUGUAUAAAUGCUAUACAGACCAUUUCAAUAGUGUUUUGACCCACAGAUUCACAGACCCUCCCCACCAACUCAAUGAUACGACCACUUUUCACCUAGUCCCACGAUUCAUAAAAAUGUUUCUAUCGAUUCUAUCCUUGAUAAGGCUUUGGUUAGGAACAGUGAAGACAUGGUUGUUCAUGAGUUGUCUUGUAAUGUGAAUAUCUUUCUGCUCAGUGAGAGAAAUACUAAGGAAUCACUGAAGACUUUUUUUCAAUUGAUAUGAGCAUGCAUCUUUUUUUUCUUAGUGAGAGAAAAUUAACAAAUUAUUGAAGACUUGUAUAUUUUUCUGUAAUAUAUAUCUGCUUCUGCUUAGCGAGAAAAACAUUAAAUAAUUAUUGGAGAUUUUUUUUUCAAUGGAUAUCAUCAGUUAUCUUGAUAAUCUGAGUGAUUAUUUAUUGCAUGACAUGUGGCUUUGGGAAGAUAAUGGUGUAUCUUAAAUAAGCAUUCUACAUCGACAUGCAAUUACAUGUCACCUAACUCUAUAUUUAUGGUUUAUGGCCACAUUUCUUGAUUACUGGUUUGUCUGAUAAUAUUUUUUUGCGAAAUGCUCGUUGCAUUCUUCCUCUAUGGCCUUAAGGAAAAAAUACUCUUUAUGAUUUGAUAUAAAAAACAAAAAUUUUUAUUCAAAACGAUAAAAUAUUCAAGGACAAUAUGGUACAAAUACAAUAUUGCCUGAUAAUAAUAAUAGCAUAACUGAUUUAAAGGCGAAAACCUUUAAUCAUUACAAUAUAAAAAUUCAGAAAUGCAAACGCAAAAACUUCAGUCCAAACCAAACCUCGUUGGCCAACCAUUGUUGAUUCUAUGACCAGAAAGAUCGGUGGCGGCGGCGGUGGUGGUGGUGGUGGUGGUGGUGGUGGAAGGCAUCUGACUGGUGACUAGUAGUUGGUGAUAGCCAUUAUUGUUGUCACCCAUGGAAGCAACUCUUGCAGGCUCUUCAACAUCACUCAUCUGCUGAGGUUGUCCCAUCAAAAGACUCAUGAACGAUUGGUUUGAAUUUGGAUACUGAUUCGAACUCUGUCCCUGAUCAUGAUUCAAACCUGUGUACUUAUCCUGGCUCGAACCAUAGAACAUAGGCUGAGUCUGGUCAUCAAAGUUAGCAGGACCUUGGUAUUGAAACGGUUCUUGAUGAUUCAUAUCCAUACCCUGACUCGAACCAUAAAACAUAGGCUGAGUCUGAUCAUAAAAGUUAGUAGGAGUUUGAUAUUGAAAUGGUUCUUGAUGAUGAACAUGAUCAUUAAAACCUCCAAGAGCCUGCUCAUUCACACUCAUAUCCAUACCAUCAUAUUGACGCAUAUGAUCAUAAGCUUCAGUAGGGUUACUUACCAAACCCUCAGUUUCGACAACAAAAGGGUUCGCAUCACCAACAACAGGACCAGAUGCAUCUGUAGCAGCGACAUUAGGUGGAACUGGCUCACCAUUCGCCUCGAGGAACUCAAUCCUGUGACUGAUAUUUUUGACAUAAUCACCAAUGAAAAGAUUCAGGUCUCUCAUAAAACUUGGAUCACCAUACUGAUCCGGCAUCAGCGUCUUCCCCUUGAGAAGAUCGAACAUAACCUCUGUAAGCUCAAUCUCCCUAUUCUCUGUGUGUAGCCUCAUCACCCUAUCUUGUCCUUUCUGGAUCCUCUCCUCCAGAUGCCUCUCCUGGUCGUACAUCCUCUUGCACCGUUCCUCCGGCAGAACACCCAUAAACGCUGAGUGCACUGCUUCAGCGCCUUCCUUUGACGGCCAAAACUCCGGCGGCUCCGUACUGUCGCAGCUGUUGAUAACCGCACAAACUUUGACACCGUAGAGAGUCGACAGCUCGUUGGCUUUUUUGAGUAAACCUUUCUUCCUCUUCCUGAAAGUUUGGUUCAUUGCAGCGCUAUUAGUCAUGGGCUCUAUUUUUAUCCUUCCCUUUGGCAUUAUUUUGUGUUGGUGAAUGAUAGAGAUAUGUUGGCACUUGAUAAUGCUCUUGUUUAUAUAGUGUAAUGAGGCUGGUAUUACGUAUGCAGAUCUUAUCACUUUCUUUUGGAUCAUUAAUGCUAAAUUGCAGUAAAUAUAAUUAUAAUAGUUACACAAAGAAUAUAUAUACUCAUUAACAGUUGUCGGGAAAUCAUUGGAUGAGGCAGAUAAUAAUCAUGUAAUUUUAGAUAUUAUUUGUAUAACUCAAGAUAUGUUUCCCAAGUUGAAGCAAUUAAACCAACCAAUAAAAAACAGUAAACUUCAAUGCAAAUUUAGAAGAAAAUGUUGCCAGCUAAUGCUGCGUAGAUAGUAGGACUAAAAUUACAGAGAUAUAUCCAAAGGAAAAUUCAUACAAUUCUAAUAAUACUACUAAACAUGCUUAUUUUCUGAAUUAAAGAAAAAAAACUUAUUAUAUUAUUUAAACCAAAAUUAUAAAUUUGAGACUCACUAAAUUAUUAUAGCUUGUGUAAUCCUCCCUCUAUUUUUUUUAAAAGUCGUUUUAGAGAAAAAAUUUAUGUUCCAAAUUAAAUGACGUUUUCGGUUUUCUAUGUAAAAUUUAUUAACACUUAAUGUUAUAUGACCAGUGAUAAUAUACCUUCUAUUUUUUUAUUGGUUGAUUUGUGGUUAUGUAAAUAAUUAAUGAUGUUUUUGUUUAGAAAAUAUAAAAAAUUAAUGAUUUUUUAAUCUAUGUGGACAAUUCAAAAACGACUUAUAUUAAAAAACGGAAGGAGUACAAGAUAAAUCGAAUCUUUAUAAGAAACCAGAAAUGGCUAACCACGUCUUUAAUUUUGGUUUGGAAAAUCCGCAAAAAGUCUUAAAGAAUAUAGGAAACCGGAAAUGACAUGUUCUUUCAGAAACUUCUGAUACUUCAAUUCUUGAUAUUAUUUUUCCAUCAUUCAAGAGCAGAAUACGUUGGGACGGAUGGCGGCUUCAUGCGUGCAUUCUGUUGUGAUGGGAGCUCUGUUCUCAGAUAAUAGACGCUCUCAACGGCUAGGCGCCACUCUCUUUCUGAGUUAUUCCAGCUUCUUCAUGAUUUCGUGCCGCGGUGAACAAACAAAAAAAGAGGGCCGUCUCAGCGGAAGGAGAAGGACCUGCAACGGCAGAGACUACUGACCCUCUUCUUGUUCACAAUGUUGAAAUACAAAGAAAUAAAAACAAAGGAUUGGGGUUUAGCUUCUUCUGGGUUUAUUAAUUAUAUAAGUAACAAAAUUCCUUCGCUACUCACGAUGGAGUGUAUUUUGAUUUUAUUGGAUGAAAGGUAGUUUGUUCAAAAAAAAAAGUAACAAAAUCAAAUAAAAUUAUAUGAAUGAUAAAAGAUCAUAUGUAAGAUCUCAUAAAGUUUUAGUUGAGGAUUAUAGAACUUUGGUUUAGAAACUUUGAGUUUGUAUUAGGUUUGGUUGUUAUUUAUUAUGUUGAAGAUACCUUUUAUUAUAUAAGUUGCACUUAUUAAACUAAUUAGUGAAUUUAGGCUAAUCCGUCCGUUAAUAUUUUUUAACACUAGACUAGUUUGAGAUUUCUGAGUGUUUUAUGUUUUAAAUUUUGUUAUUUUCCCUCUUUCCUCGUCAUCUUCACUUGUCAUAAUGUAGCUGUAGACAAAUAAUAUUUUUAUUCAUUUAAUAACUGAUCAUCUUUUUAUUGAGAUUGUUUAUUUAGUACAUUGUAGAUAGAAGAACCUCCUUAUCUAUGGGGUAAGUAGGAAGAGUGAGAGAUAUAGAGAUGAUCUUGAUGGUGGAAAGUGUUUCAUGCAUCAGCGAGCCUCUUCUUCUGACUCUGGGAAGAGAGGCUUGAGCGGAGGAAAUCUUGUUUCGCAGAAUUCUUGACAGUCCCGUUAAUGAAUCUCUGGUACCAUUUGCCAGAUUCUUUGAGGUUUCAGUCGUCGAGAUCUUAAUAUGAGAAUGGGGAAGCAUUCAUAAAACAUAAAGUACUGAGGUUUACCUUCUUUUGGUUUUCUUGAUUAUAUAAGAACCAAAAUAAAAUAAAAUCAUUUGAAUGAUAGGAAAAUCAUAUGUAAAAUACUAUUAAGUUUCAGUUGAGGAUGAUAGAACUUUGGUGUAGCUAGAUUUGAGUUUGUAUAAGGUUUGGUCAUUGUUUAUUAUGUUGAAAAUCUAUUCUAGUAUAUAAAGUUGAACUUAUUAAGUUAAUUUAAGCUGAUCGGUUUGAUGUUUAUAUAUUUAUUACACAAAACUAGUUUGCGGUUUGGGGUAAUUAUUUAUUUAUUUUCUAUGUGUGUCUAAGUGACGUUUUUGGUUUAAAUUGUGUUAUUUCACUCUCUCUCUCGAUCAUCUUGACAAAAUGUUGUUGUAGACAAUUUUUUUAUUCAUUAGUAACUGAUCAUCUUUUUAUUGAGAAUAUUUAUUUAGUACAUUAUUGUAGGUAGAAGAAGCUCCUUAUCUUUGGAGCAACUAGAAAGAGUGAGAGACAUGGAGAUGAUCUUGACCGGGGGGAAAAGUGUUUCAUGCAUCAGCGAACCUCUUCUUCUGACUCUGGGAAGAGAGGCUUGAGCGGAGGAAAUCUUGUUUCACAGCGUUCUUGACGGUCCCGUUGAUGAAUCUCUGGUACCAUUUGCCAGAUUCUUUGAGGUUUCUAUCGUCAAGAUCUUCCCAAUUAACGUAACUGAGUCCAAAUCUGACGGUGAAACCUUUACAGAAUUCAUAAUUAUCUCCAAGAGCCCAUGCAAAGUAUCCUCUCACGUUGACACCCUUCU
Molecule: long non-coding RNA, 34012 nt
Filed under: Brassica rapa (field mustard)
Lineage: Eukaryota; Viridiplantae; Streptophyta; Magnoliopsida; Brassicales; Brassicaceae
Description: long non-coding RNA (BRAP_LNC001588)
Source: RNAcentral